Neopsephotus bourkii (Bourke's parrot) is the source of this 1703-nucleotide long non-coding RNA. RefSeq lists it as uncharacterized. The transcript has 3 exons. Lineage: Eukaryota; Metazoa; Chordata; Aves; Psittaciformes; Psittacidae. The record is from RefSeq and is a predicted model, not a curated record.
UUUGGUCUCUUCUCUUGCAGGUAUGUCAACUCUUAGAACGCUCUUGUCAAUCAGUGUAGCCCAUGAGGUCUCCAAGUUCACUGUGAUGUAGUCCUAAGGAACAGGAGAUAAGAGUGACCUUGCAGGUGACAUUUGUAUUCCUGAAUGAAAACCACAUUCGCCCGACUCUGCAAAGGGAGGAGGCAGGGGCAGAAGAGAAACCCUUUUGUUCUUCUCCUCGUGGUUCCCCCUCACCUGCCAGGGCCAAACUCCAGAACAAUUCCUAGCAGCUGAGGUUAGCUGGGGACAUCUAAUCCUGGUAAGCUGGCUCUGAAUUCCAGCACACAACAUUUGAGUUUCAUCAUCAGGCAUUUUCAUCUAAUUCCUCCAGACUUCAGGAGUGUGAGUAUAUCUGUAAUGCAUUUGUCAGGAUUCCCACUCUGGAAAAGAAGAUCAGGGCAAACAGGGACUGAGGAGAACAAAAGCUGACCCAAACCUUUGACCUAAACUUAACAUAAGGCCAAAUGAAACCUUAGAGGUUUGUAAAUGUUCAUGAAGCAUUUCUACCUCCUGCUCCCCCCUCCUUUAUCUUCAGUUUCUUUAUACUUCCACACUUACUGUUUCUAAUUGCAAGUCUAAUGUAAAGCCCCACUAAAUUAAUGGAAAGGCUCUCACUGGUUUUUAGAGGCUAUUGAUUGAGCCUGCCAGAGAAAGGAGAUAAUUUAUUUAAUGAAAGUACCUUUAAACUUGAGAGAAAACAAAACCUGAAAAGAGAUAAGGAAAACCAGAGGUCAGAUGCAAUUUUCCAGCUAGCAGCACAUGUUCUUGAUCUGAACCACACCCAUGAAAUUGAUAUGGGUAUUGUUAACCCAGGAAAAAAAAUCACUGCACAGAAACAGAGAAUCACAGUGAACUGUUUAAUAAGCUAUAAUGGUUUAAUAUAUAUUUGUAUAUAUCAUAUAUAUAAUAAAAUACAAGUGUUUAGUAAGCUGCAAACCCAUGGCGUUUUGCCUGUGUUUACUGUCAGCUUGCACUGUAGAACAAUACAACUGGUAAUCAGCUGGCAUUUGUGACCUGAAGUUUCCAUUUAUACGUGUGAGAUUGAAUCUUCCCCUUGUUACCCACACUGCAACAGAAAUGUCAAUCCUAUGGAAACUUUAUUAGGAAAAUAAUACUCUGCUGCUGAUAAAGUUUUUAACUUUCUAGGUGACUUUUGUUAGAAGGGGGUAGAAAUGUGGCUGUUUAUAGGGCUUAAUAUCACCUGAGCUUCCCUGAAUGAAGCAUUAGAUGGUCAGAAUAAAAGCAUUCUUAUCUGAGUUACAUUCAGGAUUCACAGAUGAGGGACUUGUGGAAGGCUGGUGAAACCAGCUCAAGCAGAAAUUAAGCCAUGGCUUUUCUUGGAAAGCUGUUGUUACACUGUCAUUUAGCAGUGACAGCUCCGAUGGACUGGUGUUGUCAGUUCAGAGCCUGGUCUCUAAAGUGCUGACCUGCCUCAAGAUCCUGUUUUGCACGUACAGAUUGAGUGUUUUGUGUGUGCAGACUCAUAUGGCUGCAUGUUUUACUUGUGAAUACAUGCACAGCUUAUCUAGAGAAUUGUUUCCCAAUACUUGUGUAACAGUUCUGAUUUUCCCAGUCAGUGGGUAGAUACACACAGAACAGUGUGUGUUCCAGAAGCUGUUACUCAGUCUUAAUAGGAAACACAGAUGUGGGAAGUGGUCCUAGGA